RNAcentral lists this ribosomal RNA (729 nucleotides) under uncultured bacterium. RNAcentral describes it as "bacterial SSU rRNA". It matches the Rfam family "Bacterial small subunit ribosomal RNA", at positions 73 to 818 of the family's 1533-position model. The record is from RNAcentral.
UCGGAUGAAGAUCUAGGUGACUGAGUGGCGGACGGGUGAGUAACGCGUGGGUAACCUGCCUCAUACAGGGGGAUAACAGUUAGAAAUGACUGCUAAUACCGCAUAAGACCACAGCACCGCAUGGUGCAGGGGUAAAAACUCCGGUGGUAUGAGAUGGACCCGCGUCUGAUUAGGUAGUUGGUGGGGUAACGGCCUACCAAGCCGACGAUCAGUAGCCGACCUGAGAGGGUGACCGGCCACAUUGGGACUGAGACACGGCCCAAACUCCUACGGGAGGCAGCAGUGGGGAAUAUUGCACAAUGGGGGAAACCCUGAUGCAGCGACGCCGCGUGAGCGAUGAAGUAUUUCGGUAUGUAAAGCUCUAUCAGCAGGGAAGAAAAUGACGGUACCUGACUAAGAAGCACCGGCUAAAUACGUGCCAGCAGCCGCGGUAAUACGUAUGGUGCAAGCGUUAUCCGGAUUUACUGGGUGUAAAGGGAGCGUAGACGGAGUGGCAAGUCUGAUGUGAAAACCCGGGGCUCAACCCCGGGACUGCAUUGGAAACUGUCAAUCUAGAGUACCGGAGAGGUAAGCGGAAUUCCUAGUGUAGCGGUGAAAUGCGUAGAUAUUAGGAGGAACACCAGUGGCGAAGGCGGCUUACUGGACGGUAACUGACGUUGAGGCUCGAAAGCGUGGGGAGCAAACAGGAUUAGAUACCCUGGUAGUCCACGCCGUAAACGAUGACUACUA